GAUGAAGAACGUAGCGAAAUGCGAUAAGUAAUGCGAAUUGCAGAAUUCCGUGAAUCAUCGAAUCUUUGAACGCACAUUGCGCCCGCCAGUAUUCUGGCGGGCAUGCCUGUUCGAGCGUCAUUUCAACCAUCAAGCCCCCGGCUUGUGUUGGGGACCUGCGGCUGCCGCAGGCCCUGAAAACCAGUGGCGGGCUCGCUAGUCACUCCGAGCGUAGUAAUACAUCUCGCUCAGGGCGUGCUGCGGGUUCCGGCCGUUAAAAGCCUUAUUUACCCAAGGUUGACCUCGGAUCAGGUAGGAAGACCCGCUGAACUUAAGCAUAUCAAUAAGCGGAGGA
RNAcentral lists this unclassified non-coding RNA (334 nucleotides) under soil metagenome. RNAcentral's name for it is "partial contains 5.8S ribosomal RNA, internal transcribed spacer 2, and large subunit ribosomal RNA". The stretch from base 1 to 120 matches the Rfam family "5.8S ribosomal RNA", at positions 35 to 154 of the family's 154-position model. The record is from RNAcentral.